ACAAACACAAACCCCGGCGCUUCGUGCGCCAAGGAACUCAAAUCUGUUAAGUGCGACUCCCGGGGGCCCGGAGACGGUGUCCCGCGGGAGUCGUCACGACACAACAUUUACAUACAAUGACUCUCGGCAACGGAUAUCUCGGCUCUUGCAUCGAUGAAGAACGUAGCGAAAUGCGAUACUUGGUGUGAAUUGCAGAAUCCCGUGAACCAUCGAGUCUUUGAACGCAAGUUGCGCCCGAAGCCAUUAGGCCGAGGGCACGCCUGCCUGGGUGUCACACAUCGUUUCCCCAACGCAAACAUGUAACAAUGUUGCUGCGCGGGGUGUAUGCUGACCUCCCGCGAGCACCCGCCUCGUGGUUGGUUGAAAUCUGGGUUCAUGGCCGACUUCGCCGUGAUAAAAUGGUGGAUGAGCCACGCUCGAGACCAAUCACGUGCGAGCCGGUCAGUUCUGGACCCAUCGACGACCCUUUGCGUGCACGCACGCUCCCAACGAGACCUCAGGUCAGGCGGGGCUACCCGCUGAG
Molecule: ribosomal RNA, 523 nt
Filed under: embryophyte environmental sample
Lineage: Eukaryota; Viridiplantae; Streptophyta
Description: eukaryotic LSU rRNA
Rfam family: 5.8S ribosomal RNA (bases 119-274)
Source: RNAcentral